Molecule: long non-coding RNA, 400 nt
Organism: Mya arenaria
Lineage: Eukaryota; Metazoa; Mollusca; Bivalvia; Myida; Myidae
Exons: 5
Source: RefSeq, a predicted model, not a curated record
CCACCAUUCUUUGUGAAGAGGAAUCCAAAUGUUCUUUGGCCUGAUCGAGUUCUUAUGGGUGCCUUGAGCCAUCCUAGGAGGCAUCCCAAGUAACAACAUUAAGAACGUAUAAAUGUUUGAACUGUGCAGACUUCUUGUUGUGAGAAAAAAAGCCUGCAGCCAAUGAGAUAGAAAUGGAGAGAAGGGCAAUAGCAGCUUGCACAUGUCAAGGAUCUGCAGCGCAUGAAACCCCUUAAACUGAAGAUGAUGUUCCUGAAGCCUAGAGAUGUCAGCACUCGCAGUCAGCCGCUUUAUCAUCCAUUGCUCCAUUAACCUCAUCCACCUGGUCAACACAAUUCAAACAUACCAGAUACAGACUCAGUUAAAACAGAUAUGGGUGCAAGUCAUGACACUUUUACAG